AUUGUGAGAAGCAGAAGACAUUUUUACAAUGUUUACUUACAAAACUUCCUUGGGGUUUCAAAAAGUGAAUGAAACAGAAAAACCUAAUAGCUCCAAGGGUUGAGAGAGGCCCUGCUGAUUGCUUCAGGCGCUAAUAAAAGUCCCCAUGACUCAAACAUUCCCCAUGCCCUUUUGCUCUUAUAUUCAAGGUGGGUAUAAUAAAUAAUGUUUCUACAGAGGAGGAAAAUGAGGUAAAAAAAAUGUGAAAUGACUUUCCGAACAUCAGAGAGUGUUUGAGUAGCAGAGAGGGAUUAAACAGAUGUCUGGAGGAGGCUGAAACACACGCUUUUUCUGCAAUAUCACAUCAAAAGUUGUCUACGGAGGUGAUUGUUUAGAGCAAAUUGUAGGCUUGAGAAAACUUCCAGUGGAGAGGCACCAGUAAGCAAGAUGUACUUCACUUCAAUAAGCAGAGACUGGCUGGGAACCCAGAUCUGUCCACUCUGGUGAAUUUCCCUCUGGGCCAGUGCUGCCUGCUGUGUCAAAGGUCAUCUGACAUGACCCUCCACCGAAUGGAAUCAUAACUUAUUGCCAUGUCCUGGUUUGAAGAGAGAAAAGCAGCCCCCAGGCUCCUAAACCUAAAGUCAUCCAGGCUGAAGUGGAGGAGAUGAUUUCCAGCUCUGAAGGAGUGUGCCCUGAGAAUGAGCCUUCCUUUUACACCCUGCUGGGCUCCUACAGCCACACUAACCUUUCACCUGGAAAGCCCAGGGAUCUGCCUCUUCCCCAGGACAGUUCUUCCACGUCAGCUGUGGUCCUAAGGACCAAUGGAGAGGUCGUGAGGCGCAGUGAAGAAGCUUGUCUGGGCUGCCAAUCCUUAGAAGAAUAUGAAUGGCUGCCAAUUCCUUGGAAGAGUGAAAUCUCUUAAGACCAAUUUCAAUAAAUAUUUUCAUGGUCAGAUCA
This 936-nucleotide long non-coding RNA is filed under the name Sus scrofa (pig). RNAcentral's name for it is "lncRNA (ENSSSCG00025046675.1)". Lineage: Eukaryota; Metazoa; Chordata; Mammalia; Artiodactyla; Suidae. The record is from RNAcentral.